This 441-nucleotide ribosomal RNA is filed under the name uncultured bacterium. RNAcentral's name for it is "partial 16S ribosomal RNA". It matches the Rfam family "Bacterial small subunit ribosomal RNA", at positions 338 to 795 of the family's 1533-position model. The record is from RNAcentral.
CCUACGGGAGGCAGCAGUGGGGAAUAUUGCACAAUGGGGGAAACCCUGAUGCAGCGACGCCGCGUGAGUGAUGAAGUAUUUCGGUAUGUAAAGCUCUAUCAGCAGGAACGAGACAAGACGGUACCUGACUAAGAAGCCCCGGCUAACUACGUGCCAGCAGCCGCGGUAAUACGUAGGGGGCAAGCGUUAUCCGGAAUCACUGGGUGUAACGGGAGCGUAGACGGCUGAGCAAGCCUGAAGUGAAAGGCGGGGGCCCAACCCCCGGACUGCUUGGGGAACUGUACGGCUGGAGUGCAGGAGAGGCAAGUGGAAUUCCUAGUGUAGCGGUGAAAUGCGUAGAUAUGAGGAAGAACACCAGUUGCGAAGGCAGCUUACUGGACUGUAACUGACGUUGAGGCUCGAAAGCGUGGGGAGCAAACAGGAUUAGAUACCCUUGUAGUC